This 556-nucleotide ribosomal RNA is filed under the name uncultured bacterium. RNAcentral's name for it is "bacterial SSU rRNA". It matches the Rfam family "Bacterial small subunit ribosomal RNA", at positions 57 to 606 of the family's 1533-position model. The record is from RNAcentral.
GCAAGUCGAGGGGUAACGGAAGUAGCUUGCUACUAGACGACGACCGGCGCACGGGUGAGUAACGCGUAUGUAAUCUGCCUUGUACAGAGGGAUAGCCCAGAGAAAUUUGGAUUAAUACCUCAUAGUAUUACUGAAUCGCAUGAUUUGGUAAUUAAAGCUCCGGCGGUACAAGAUGAACAUGCGUGACAUUAGCUAGUUGGUAAGGUAACGGCUUACCAAGGCUACGAUGUCUAGGGGUUCUGAGAGGAUGAUCCCCCACACUGGUACUGAGACACGGACCAGACUCCUACGGGAGGCAGCAGUGAGGAAUAUUGGUCAAUGGACGCAAGUCUGAACCAGCCAUCCCGCGUGAAGGAUGACUGCCCUAUGGGUUGUAAACUUCUUUUAUAUGCAAAUAAACCUACUUUCGUGAAAGUAGCUGAAGGUAGCAUAUGAAUAAACACCGGCUAACUCCGUGCCAGCAGCCGCGGUAAUACGGAGGGUGUAAGCGUUAUCCGGAUUUAUUGCGUUUAAAGGGUACGUAGGCGGUAAUAUAAGUCAGUGGUGAAAUCCUGCA